CAAAGGCUUGGUCCUGACUUUACUAUCAGCUUUGACCAGAUUUACACAUGCAAGUCUCCGCACCCCUGUGAGGAUGCCCUUAAUCUCCUGCCCGGAGACGAGGAGCCGGCAUCAGGCACGCUAACCAGAGCAGCCCAAGACGCCUUGCUAAGCCACACCCCCAAGGGAACUCAGCAGUGAUAGACAUUAAGCCAUAAGCGAAAGCUUGACUUAGUUAAGGUUAACAAGGCCGGUAAAACUCGUGCCAGCCACCGCGGUUAUACGAGAGGCCUAAGUGGAUAGACAUCGGCGUAAAGUGUGGUUAUGGCAUAAAGGACUAAAGCCAAACACCUCCAAGGCUGUUAUACGCACCCGGAGAAAUGAAGCCCUCUCGCGAAAGUAGCUUUAUUAUUUCGCCUGAACCCACGACAGCUAUGGAACAAACUGGGAUUAGAUACCCCACUAUGCUUAGCCGUAAAAUUUGACAGUAAAGUACAACUACUGUCCGCCAGGGUACUACAAGCGCCAGCUUAAAACCCAAAGGACUUGGCGGUGCCUCAGACCCACCUAGAGGAGCCUGUUCUAGAACCGAUAACCCCCGUUCAACCUCACCUCCCCUUGUCACCCCCGCCUAUAUACCGCCGUCGUCAGCAUACCCUGUGAAGGAAAUAUAGUAUGCAAAAUGGGUAAAACCCAAAACGUCAGGUCGAGGUGUAGCGUAUGAGGAGGGAAGAAAUGGGCUACAUUCUCUAGCUUAGAGCAUUACGAAAGGGGUUGUGAAACCAACCCCUGAAGGUGGAUUUAGCAGUAGACGGGAAUUAGAGCGUCCCGUCGAAACUGGCUCUGAGGCGCGCACACACCGCCCGUCACUCUCCCCAAGUCUAUUUUUUAAGUUCAUAAAAACAAUGCCGGACAAAGGGGAGGCAAGUCGUAACAUGGUAAGUGUACCGGAAGGUGCACUUGGAAAAAU
RNAcentral lists this non-coding RNA (949 nucleotides) under Galaxias platei. Its description in RNAcentral is "12S ribosomal RNA". It matches the Rfam family "Bacterial small subunit ribosomal RNA". The record is from RNAcentral. Lineage: Eukaryota; Metazoa; Chordata; Actinopteri; Galaxiiformes; Galaxiidae.